RNAcentral lists this ribosomal RNA (856 nucleotides) under uncultured bacterium. RNAcentral's name for it is "SSU rRNA". It matches the Rfam family "Bacterial small subunit ribosomal RNA", at positions 524 to 1380 of the family's 1533-position model. The record is from RNAcentral.
UACCACGGGACCUAAUGCACCUCAGAAUGACUGAUCUUAAAGAAUUCGUAAGUGCAUUAUAAUGUUGGUGGUGAAAUCCCUCAGCUCAAAUCUGGAACUGCCUUUAGAAAUUUUCAUCUCGACAUGAUAUAGCAACCCUUAGUUUCUGCCGUUAGAGGUGAAAUUCUAACACUUUACAAAGAGUACCAGUUGAUAAGACAUCUUCCUGGACUUUUACUGACCUUGAGGAGCGAAACUCUGUAUAGUGAACAGGAUUAUAUACUCUCGUAUACCAUGCCGUAAAGGAUGUGUGAUAGAAGUUAGACAUUUAUUUUCAGGGACGAACUGAAAACGAUAAAUGCACCGCCUGGGGAGUACGACCGCAAGGUUAAAACUCAAACGAAUUGACGGGGACGCGCACAAGUAGUGGUGCAUGUGGUUUAAUUUGAUGAUACUCGCAGACCCUUUCCUACACUUGUCAUGUUCGUCGCGACUUUAUGAGAGUAGAGUCUUCGGGUCGGUCGGACGCAACACAGGUGCUGCAUGCCUGUCGUCAGCUCGUGUCGUGAGAUGGCGGGCUAAGUGUCACAACGAGCGCAAGCCUCACUUUUCGUUGUCUUCAUUAAGUUGGGCUCUCCGAAAGAUCGCCCAUCGAUAUCCUGGAGGAAGGUGGGGAUGACGUCAACUCUUCAUGUUCCUUAUGUGAUGGGUUCCACACGCGCUUCAACGGACAUUCCACAGGAAUCAAGCCUGCGCAAGUAUGCCAGUAUCUAAAACAUUCCUCAGUUUGGACGGCAGUCUGCAACUUGAGUGCAUGAAGCCGGAAUUCGUAGUAAUUGUGGAUCCAGCAUUCCGCGGAGAAUCCGUCUUCCGGGUG